UGCAUACAUAUGUAUGUACAUUUUGAUCAGUCCAUUGACGAACAUGUAUAUACAUACACGUAUGCGCAUAUAUGUCUAUACGAAGAAAUUUAGUUAUUACAGUUACAUGGAUAACUGCGUUGUACCUGAAUUUGCGAUCUGAAAUUUACAUAUUUGAAAAAGGGCAGUCAAAAAUUUAUAUUUUACAACAACCGUUGAUUAGUCUAGACAAUGAAUUUCCUAACGAUAAAACUACUCUGUACAUACAUACAUAUGUAGAUGUGUAUGGUGUGUAUCCUUGUCCGGCAUUAAAACAAAAAAAUAACAUUUUUCCUGCAAGUGCACAGCAGGAUUAAAUCUGGUAUCGUCAGAUUCUUUUGAUACCCAUGCGUUUGUAUGUAUUUUAUAUGGAUGUAUAUACAUACGUGUGUAUGUAUGUGCCAUGCCUUUUGUAAUUUAACGUCUUACUCAAAUCUCUCUAUGAAAGAAGCGGACACAUGCUGUGCUUCUACAGCUUACACAUACAAACAAGUCUGUAUGUUUGUUUAACGUGCAUUUGUGUGAUUUUCCAGACCCUUUAUGAGUGUAGUGUACAUAUGUGUGUAUAAAUAUCCGCACAAAACAAUCGUAUUUGCAGCUCUUUAGUCAUGCCGUGUACCCAAUGACUUUAUUAUCCUCUCCUCUUUGGUUCAGUAAAAAUUUUAAAGGCUUAAUUAGUCAGCGGUUCGAUGCCGAAAAGGGUGGAGAACGUUUGGUUAAAGCGGUAUGCUCGCACACUUGUGUAUACAUAUGUGUAUACACACAUUGUUUCUUUUUCGAUUAAGACGGAGCAAGCAGGCAGAUUGAAGCAUCAUCAUUAGCAAGAAACUGAGCUGAGAAGACCUUUGGAAUAAUGUUGUCCGACGAAGAAAUACAUACAAAUUUGUACAAACAUACCUAUAAAAGAAAAACAGACAAAAAAAGGGGCAAUAACAAAACAAAGGGAACGCUUUUUGGACCUUUAUAGGUACAAAUAUAUAAUAUGUGUACAUAUAUUGUAUAAAUUAGCUUUCAUUAUAUAUAUGUAUGUAAUGAAAUUUAACAAUUAAAAGUAUUUUUACACUUGGAGCAAUAUAUAGACAUUAUUUUUUCAAGUAUGGUAUACAUGUGUAUGUACAUAAAAGCCUUCUGGGUUUAGCCUUUAAACUGGAUAUUGCGUAGAUUCAUAUGCACAAAUGCCUAUACAAAUGUACGUACAUUGUAUGUAUAUUUUCACAAGCGUCAAUACACAAACAUAUGUACGUCUGAUAGUUGUAUAAACAUUUAGAAAAAAGAUUCCCAAGAGGCUAUGCAUGCAUACAUAUGCGUCUGUGAAUUAGGGCGGACUUUGGCUUUAUUCAAAGUCCUGCAGUACCACCUCUUUUUUAAUAAAGUAAAAGCUUCCAUCGAUCAUAAAAAGCGAUAUCAACCUUAAAUGUACAUACAAUUUAUUCCCCGUAAUUUCUUUAAUUCUGAGGAAAGUAAAGAAAUUACAAAUUGUGGACAUAGGUUUAGCGCCUUUACCGGGGGUCUUUGACAUGUUACAUUUUCGUUUCUUAAUAAAGUUAUACAUUUUUUAUUUUGUAUAUGGAAAUAAAUAAAUAUGGAAAUAAAUAAAUAAGUAUUGUUAAUCAAUCACUCGUAUCUAUGCGCCAUUUAAUAAGACAAGAAGUGUGCUACUCCCGUGGCCAGCACUGUAGAUCGAAACAAACUAGAAGACUACGAAAUGAAAAUACAGUUAGAAAAUGUCCUAUCUUAUUUACAUGUUCUAUUUAAGGUAGUUACAAAAUAAAUAUUAAUAUUAAGAACCAUGAGUUUUCAUAAUUGAAAAUUAUAAAUGCAAAACGACUGUCUCCGUCACUGGGUUUAUGGUCAAUUAAUUAUAGUUACUUAUAGAAUUAUCGGGUAUACAAGAUUCGUUUAAAAGUAUCUAACAGAUAAUUCGUAUUGGACAAUUUUAAGUAUACAUAUUCUUAAUCAGGAUAAGAAGUAACUUUAACUUUUUAACUUUUUUUGUCAAUAGAAAGGACUUUGUUUUUGGCAAUUAUUUACACAGGUAAAAAAGAAAACAACACGAAAAAAUUGAAAGUCCUUUAAUUAUCAUUCCGCAUACUAUAAUAUUAUUUACAUUUGACAUUAAAAAAAUAACCGUUGCUGCUGCUUGCUUGUUUAACCUAAAAAUAGUGAUUUACUAGAAAAAUAGCAAUGACUUCAUUAUGGACUAAAAAUUAAAUAAAAAGUUGCCUCUCCAAGUGAUAUUAAAAAAAGUUAGGUUAAAGCUACGGAGGACAUUCAUAUUAGUUGAAGCAGCAGGAAAGCUGCGACAUCGCCUGUUUAAAUGACACUUAACUUGAAGACCCAUUCAAGUGUGUUUCAUUGAAUGGUUAAGUAUUAAGUAUCAACAAAAUUUAACAAAACAUUGUUAUUUAUAAGAAUAAAAACCAAAACCAACUGCAGUUCGUAAAAUAAAAAAGAUUAUUUUGAUUAUGAAA
This is a long non-coding RNA of Drosophila sechellia, 2489 nucleotides long. RefSeq lists it as uncharacterized. The transcript has 3 exons. Lineage: Eukaryota; Metazoa; Arthropoda; Insecta; Diptera; Drosophilidae. The record is from RefSeq and is a predicted model, not a curated record.